Molecule: ribosomal RNA, 253 nt
Filed under: uncultured bacterium
Lineage: Bacteria
Description: partial 16S ribosomal RNA
Rfam family: Bacterial small subunit ribosomal RNA
Source: RNAcentral
AACGUAGGUUCCGAGCGUUAUCCGGAUUUACUGGGCGUAAAGCGCGUUCAGGCGGUUUGGCAAGUCGGGCAUGAAAUCUCUCGGCUCAACCGGGAGAGGUUGUCCGAUACUUCCAGACUUGAGGGCAGUAGAGGGUGGUGGAAUUCCGGGUGUAGUGGCGAAAUGCGUAGAUAUCCGGAGGAACACCAGUGGCGAAAGCGGCCACCUGGACUGCACCUGACGCUGACACGCGAAAGCUAGGGGAGCGAACGGG